This 587-nucleotide unclassified non-coding RNA is filed under the name rhizosphere bacterium GWR11. Its description in RNAcentral is "16S-23S intergenic spacer". The stretch from base 112 to 185 matches the Rfam family "tRNA". The record is from RNAcentral.
CUGGAGCUGCAUUGUCAGGAGACUGCAAUCAGCAUGAAUAGGUUUUCCGAUUAUUUAAGUCUACUAUUUUAUUUAUCCUACCUUAACUUAUUGAAAGGUAUUAAUAACAACGGGCUUGUAGCUCAGGUGGUUAGAGCGCUACACUGAUAAUGUAGAGGUCCCUGGUUCGAGUCCAGGCAAGCCCACUUUUGGUCUUUUGACCUGGAUAGAUUUAACAGUUGUUAUUAGUAUACUGAAUAAUAUUAAACAUUGAUACAAACGGUAUCAAUACAUGGUUUUGGGGGAUUAGCUCAGCUGGCUAGAGCACCUGCCUUGCACGCAGGGGGUCAACGGUUCGAAUCCGUUAUUCUCCACACUUCUAAGACAAAUGGUUUUAGAAAAUGUUCUUUGACGUAAUGAUUAAAUAGGUAUAUCAAAGUACUUGAAAAAGUAGUUUGAUAUUACACGAGUGUAAUAUUGAGUAAAUUAUAAUAAAGAAAAUAAAUAAGGGCGUAUGGGGAAUGCCUAGGCUCUCAGAGGCGAAGAAAGACGUGCCAAGCUGCGAAAAGUUACGGGGAUCUGCUGAGGAGAUUUGAUCCGUAAAUGUC